CGGACGGGUGAGUAACGCGUGGAAAACCUGCCGUAUACUGGGGGAUAACACUUAGAAAUAGGUGCUAAUACCGCAUAAGCGCACAGCUUCGCAUGAAGCGGUGUGAAAAACUCUGGUGGUAUACGAUGGUUCCGCGUCUGAUUAGCUAGUUGGUGGAGUAAUGGCCUACCAAGGCAACGAUCAGUAGCCGGCCUGAGAGGGUGAACGGCCACAUUGGGACUGAGACACGGCCCAAACUCCUACGGGAGGCAGCAG
This 255-nucleotide ribosomal RNA is filed under the name uncultured bacterium. RNAcentral describes it as "partial 16S ribosomal RNA". It matches the Rfam family "Bacterial small subunit ribosomal RNA", at positions 99 to 354 of the family's 1533-position model. The record is from RNAcentral.